UUGUCUUCAGAUUUGAGUUCGCUGUCUUCAGAGGAGGAAAUGGGGGAGGAGUCAGCGCCGACAAUUGUCCCUUCGACCAAGCUUGUGGAAAAUGGAAACGAAGCCUGUCGACGGGCCCUUUUGGAAGAGGCACUUCUUGGCAGCAGUGGUGACAGCGAAGAGGACGACGGCGAGGGGGAACCAAAGAAGCAGAAGGCGGUGCCAAAGGAAAAAGAGGACGUCGUUCCUGACUGCGAGGAAGAGCAGGCUGCUCCUGAGAAAGAGGAGGACAGGCAGGAGGCCGUUCCCGACAGCGAUGAAGAGGACAGCGACGAAAUCGGGGUCGCCACGAAGAAGGGAAAGAAGCUCCUCAAGUAUGAGAAGCUUCUGCAGAAGCCAGUUCCCGGCGGCAAGGACGACAGCUCGGAGGAGGAGGAGCCACUAGAGAGCCGAAAAAGGAAAUCCAAAAGCAAGCGGGUAGUGGUGUCGAGCGAUGACGAACACAAGUACGCCGACUCCAAGAAACCCGAGCUCACCAUCAGCAGCAGCCUCGGCUCGAGCAGCUCGAGCGAAUCGGAUAACUUGGACAUCAAGCCGGCUCGCAAGAAAAAAAAGAAGCGGGCGUCCUCUUCGAUAGGAUCGAGCGGACAGUCCGACGACUCAGACUUCAACUCGUCCAAGAAGGGCAAGCGCGGCCCCAGGGACCGGUCUGCGUCGCCCGGCAAGGCGAUCAAGAAGAAGCGCCGUCGCAUCAAGAUGGCCGCCUCCACGGACGACGACAAGGAGAACAGCGACGACAGCAAUUCGAGCCAGGAGACGGGCAGCAAGAGCCGCAAGAACCUCCGAAAGCUCCGGCCAGUCGGCGACGAGACGAGGGCGGCAGCCAAGGCGGAGGAGGAACGCAAGAAAAGGGUCCAAGAGCGCCAGAAGCUGCAGUACAACAAGAUCCGAGGGGGCGCUUCAGAGUGUGGCAACACGACCCUGGAGGAACUGGUGCUAGAGAUGGACCUCAAGGCCAACAAGCCGCUGGUGACGGUGAAUCGGAAGUUGGUCAAAUGCAUGAAGCCGCACCAGGUCGACGGUGUCAAGUUCCUGUACGAGUGCACCAUCGAAUCCCUCGAGAUGCUGAAGAAGGACCCCAACAAUGGUUCUGGCUGCAUCCUUGCCCACUGCAUGGGGCUGGGAAAGACCUUCCAGGUGAUCUCGUUCCUGCACACGGUAUUGAACCACAAGGAUUGCGGCAAGAUCCUACGGACUGCCCUCGUCGUGUGCCCAUACAACACUGUCCUCAACUGGUCGCAGGAGUUUGAACGCUGGCUCAAAGACAAGAGACUCGACCUCACCGUGCACGAGGUGUCGUCUAUCAAGGACAACCACUCGCGGGUGAAGACCCUGGAGUACUGGCAGAAGAAGGGCGGAGUCAUGAUCAUUGGCUACGACAUGUUCCGUCGACUGACCAACGAAAAGGCCAUGGGGGUCAGCAAGAAGAUGAAGGAGCGACUGAGGAAGGCGCUGCUCGAUCCAGGGCCGGACAUCGUGGUGUGCGACGAAGGGCACAUUCUGAAGAGCGACAAGACGAGCCUGUCGAUCGCCAUGAACUCGCUCAGGACAUGCCGGCGGAUAGUCCUCAGCGGAACUCCCCUCCAGAACAACCUGCAAGAGUACCACUGCAUGGUGCAGUUCGUGAAGCCCAACCUGCUGGGAACCAAGAAGGAGUUCACCAACCGCUUUGUGAACCCGAUCGCCAACGGCCAGUGUGCCGACUCGACGGCCCUGGACGUAAGGCUGAUGAAGAGGCGGGUGCACGUCUUGCAUCGCCUGCUGAAUGGUUGCGUCCAGCGCUGCGACUACAACGCCUUGAAGCCCUUCCUGCCACCCAAGUGCGAGUACGUGAUCAGCGUGCGGCUGUCGGAGGUGCAAGUGCAGCUGUACCGCCACUUCCUGGACCACCUGGCCAGAGGGGGCCGCAACAGCAAGCCCAACCAGGGCAUGUCCCUGUUCUGGGACUUCAACGUGCUGCGCAACAUUUGGACCGACCCCGCGCUGCUCGUCAUGAGCGCCGAGCGCGCCAGGGCCAAGGAGCUCCUCGAGGAUGAAUCGAGCGAUUGGAUGUCCCCUUUCAUCGACGACGGAUCGGAGAGUUCGUGCAUUGAUGACGGUGCGGAGAGUUCGAGCAUUGACGACGGUUCGGAGAGUUCGAGCAGCCAAAGCGACAGCAACGAAGAAGCCGUUUACCUCGACCAAGACAAGCCCUCCACCAGCAAAGGGAAGGACAGCGGGCACCAGACUGGAGACGAGGUGGUCAAAACCUGGAAAACGAGGAUCCCAGCGGCUCUCGGCGAAUCUAGCGGGGAAGAAACGACUCCUUCGCCUCAGUCGGAGGAAUGGUGGCACCACUGCGUCUCGGAGGAGGACAUGUACGAGGUCAGCGGCAAGAUGAUCCUGCUCCACAACAUCUUGCACGAGUGCGGCGCCAUCGGGGACAAACUCCUGCUGUUCAGCCAGAGCCUACUGACGCUCGACCUGGUGGAGAAGCUACUGGAGCGGUGCAACGAGCUCGCCUCCGCAGUGCAGCCCGACGCCACGGCGGUGGAUCCAAGCGAUCCGUUGCGGGACUGCCACAGCACGUGGAUCUCCGGCGUCGACUACUUCCGCAUGGACGGCUCAACGCCCGUGGACCAGCGCAAGCGCUGGAUCGAGAUGUUCAACAACGAGUCGAACCCGCGGGGCCGGCUGUUCCUCAUCUCGACCAGGGCAGGAUCGCUGGGCACGAACCUGGUGGGGGCGAACCGGGUGGUGCUCAUGGACACCUCGUGGAACCCCACGCACGACGUGCAGGCCAUCUUCCGCGUCUACCGCUUCGGGCAAAAGAAGAAGGUCUUCAUCUACCGCCUCCUCGCCCAGUGUUGGGUCCGAGGGGGUUCUCCAGGCAGCCUCCAUCAGGGCCAGGCCAAGACAGGAACAGCAGGCCAACUCCCGGCAAGAACAUCACGAGACGGGAGGGUCUCUCACGACACACUUUGUUUAAUACAUAUAUACAAAGUAACUGCAUCGUCCGAGAGCACACAUGCGCCCUCUUGUUUACUCCUUUUAUAGGGUCGCUGUCGGUGCCCCACCGGUUGGCAGCCAAUGGUGGCCGAACUGCCAACAAAUGUCCUGUUCAGGCCCCGCCCCCACUCAUCCCCCGAGCACACACACGCACACACUGUAGUGGCGGCCGGACAUCACAAUCCGGCGCCGAGAUACUCGCCUUCGAAUGCCGCGCCGAGGAGGCGACAACAAAGGGUCCACUGUCAGCCCGGGAGACGACGUUGGCCGAGAUAGUGCUGAUCCCUCCAUUAGGCGGCGUUGUGGCACGAGAAAGGCUUUGGCCGGAACAUCCGCAAGUGGCGUCCGAAGGUAAUCCCUGCCGAACACAUCCUCACGGAGGUCCCGCAGCUGGCGCGCCGUCACCCGGAAUCCUCGCACGGGGACGAUGGAGGAGAAGGUCUACGAUCGGCAGGUGGCAAAGCAGUCCCUGGCGCGCCGGGUGUUGGACGAGCAGCAGAUCGAGCGCCACUUCAAUGCGGCCGAUCUCAUGGAACUGUACAGCUUCAAU
Molecule: RNA transcript, 3577 nt
Organism: Ixodes scapularis (black-legged tick)
Lineage: Eukaryota; Metazoa; Arthropoda; Arachnida; Ixodida; Ixodidae
Gene name: transcriptional regulator ATRX homolog
Exons: 18
Source: RefSeq, a predicted model, not a curated record